Molecule: long non-coding RNA, 162 nt
Organism: Haliotis rubra (blacklip abalone)
Lineage: Eukaryota; Metazoa; Mollusca; Gastropoda; Lepetellida; Haliotidae
Exons: 3
Source: RefSeq, a predicted model, not a curated record
CUUCACAAAGUCCGCUGACUUGACUAUCAGUUGUCCGACUUCCAUUUUUGUGGAAGCCGCGGUGGCUGAGCCAGUUAGGCGUCUGACUUGCAAUUGGCGAUUACUCUGAGAGUGUGGGUUCGAAUCUCGGAUGGGACUCAACCCAACAAAAGUACUAGAAUC